UAGGGUCAGCGACUGGCACUAAGUCGUAACAAGGUAGCUGUAGGUGAACCUGCAGAAGGAUCA
Molecule: ribosomal RNA, 63 nt
Filed under: uncultured eukaryote
Lineage: Eukaryota
Description: partial small subunit ribosomal RNA
Source: RNAcentral